RNAcentral lists this ribosomal RNA (754 nucleotides) under uncultured bacterium. RNAcentral describes it as "bacterial SSU rRNA". It matches the Rfam family "Bacterial small subunit ribosomal RNA", at positions 61 to 779 of the family's 1533-position model. The record is from RNAcentral.
GUCGAACGAGUUCUCGUUGAUGAUCGGUGCUUGCACCGAGAUUCAACAUGGAACGAGUGGCGGACGGGUGAGUAACACGUGGGUAACCUGCCCUUAAGUGGGGGAUAACAUUUGGAAACAGAUGCUAAUACCGCAUAGAUCCAAGAACCGCAUGGUUCUUGGCUGAAAGAUGGCGUAAGCUAUCGCUUUUGGAUGGACCCGCGGCGUAUUAGCUAGUUGGUGAGGUAACAGCUCACCAAGGCGAUGAUACGUAGCCGAACUGAGAGGUUGAUCGGCCACAUUGGGACUGAGACACGGCCCAAACUCCUACGGGAGGCAGCAGUAGGGAAUCUUCCACAAUGGACGCAAGUCUGAUGGAGCAACGCCGCGUGAGUGAAGAAGGCUUUCGGGUCGUAAAACUCUGUUGUUGGAGAAGAAUGGUCGGCAGAGUAACUGUUGUCGGCGUGACGGUAUCCAACCAGAAAGCCACGGCUAACUACGUGCCAGCAGCCGCGGUAAUACGUAGGUGGCAAGCGUUAUCCGGAUUUAUUGGGCGUAAAGCGAGCGCAGGCGGUUUUUUAAGUCUGAUGUGAAAGCCCUCGGCUUAACCGAGGAAGCGCAUCGGAAACUGGGAAACUUGAGUGCAGAAGAGGACAGUGGAACUCCAUGUGUAGCGGUGAAAUGCGUAGAUAUAUGGAAGAACACCAGUGGCGAAGGCGGCUGUCUGGUCUGUAACUGACGCUGAGGCUCGAAAGCAUGGGUAGCGAACAGGAUU